Molecule: ribosomal RNA, 485 nt
Filed under: uncultured Pseudomonadota bacterium
Lineage: Bacteria; Pseudomonadati; Pseudomonadota
Description: bacterial SSU rRNA
Rfam family: Bacterial small subunit ribosomal RNA
Source: RNAcentral
UGGGGAAUAUUGGACAAUGGGCGCAAGCCUGAUCCAGCCAUGCCGCGUGAGUGAUGAAGGCCCUAGGGUUGUAAAGCUCUUUCGCCAGGGACGAUAAUGACGGUACCUGGAUAAGAAGCCCCGGCUAACUUCGUGCCAGCAGCCGCGGUAAUACGAAGGGGGCUAGCGUUGUUCGGAAUCACUGGGCGUAAAGCGCACGUAGGCGGAUCUUUAAGUCAGGGGUGAAAUCCCGAGGCUCAACCUCGGAACUGCCUUUGAUACUGGAGGUCUCGAGUUCGGGAGAGGUGAGUGGAACUGCGAGUGUAGAGGUGAAAUUCGUAGAUAUUCGCAAGAACACCAGUGGCGAAGGCGGCUCACUGGCCCGAUACUGACGCUGAGGUGCGAAAGCGUGGGGAGCAAACAGGCUUAGAUACCCUGGUAGUCCACGCCGUAAACGAUGGAUGCUAGCCGUUGGGGAGCUUGCUCUUCAGUGGCGCAGCUAACGU